GGAGCUGUGGCCGAGUGGCUGAAGGCACCGCUUUGCUAAAGCGGCAUACCUCUCAAGGGUAUCGAGGGUUCGAAUCCCUCCGGCUCCGCCA
RNAcentral lists this transfer RNA (91 nucleotides) under Tardiphaga robiniae. RNAcentral describes it as "tRNA-Ser". It matches the Rfam family "tRNA". Rfam says of the family: Transfer RNA (tRNA) molecules are approximately 80 nucleotides in length. Their secondary structure includes four short double-helical elements and three loops (D, anti-codon, and T loops). Further hydrogen bonds mediate the characteristic L-shaped molecular structure. tRNAs have two regions of fundamental functional importance: the anti-codon, which is responsible for specific mRNA codon recognition, and the 3' end, to which the tRNAs corresponding amino acid is attached (by aminoacyl-tRNA synthetases). tRNAs cope with the degeneracy of the genetic code in two manners: having more than one tRNA (with a specific anti-codon) for a particular amino acid; and 'wobble' base-pairing, i.e. permitting non-standard base-pairing at the 3rd anti-codon position. The record is from RNAcentral. RNAcentral also lists the same sequence under 35 other names. Lineage: Bacteria; Pseudomonadati; Pseudomonadota; Alphaproteobacteria; Hyphomicrobiales; Nitrobacteraceae.